GCGAAAGUGGUGGAAUUGGCAGACACGUCAGACUUAGGAUCUGGUGCCGCAAGGCGUGGGGGUUCAAGUCCCCCUUUUCGCA
This 82-nucleotide transfer RNA is filed under the name Spirochaetaceae bacterium. Its description in RNAcentral is "tRNA-Leu". It matches the Rfam family "tRNA". Rfam says of the family: Transfer RNA (tRNA) molecules are approximately 80 nucleotides in length. Their secondary structure includes four short double-helical elements and three loops (D, anti-codon, and T loops). The record is from RNAcentral. Lineage: Bacteria; Pseudomonadati; Spirochaetota; Spirochaetia; Spirochaetales; Spirochaetaceae.